CCUACGGGAGGCAGCAGUGGGGAAUAUUGGGCAAUGGGCGCAAGCCUGACCCAGCAACGCCGCGUGAAGGAAGAAGGCUUUCGGGUUGUAAACUUGUUUUAUCAGGGACGAAGCAAGUGACGGUACCUGAUGAAUAAGCGACGGCUAACUACGUGCCAGCAGCCGCGGUAAUACGUAGGUGGCAAGCGUUAUCCGGAUUUACGGGGUGUAAAGGGCGUGUAGGCGGGAGUGCAAGUCAGAUGUGAAAACUAUGGGCUCAACCCAUAGCCCGCAUUUGAAACUGUACUUCUUGAGUGAUGGAGAGGCAAUCGGAAUGCCGGGUGUAGCGGUGAAAUGCGUAGAUAUACGGAGGAACACCAGUGGCGAAGGCGGAUUGCUGAACAGUAACUGACGCUGAGGCGCGAAAGCGUGGGGAGCAAACAGGAUUAGAUACCCUAGUAGUC
This 443-nucleotide ribosomal RNA is filed under the name uncultured bacterium. RNAcentral describes it as "partial 16S ribosomal RNA". It matches the Rfam family "Bacterial small subunit ribosomal RNA", at positions 338 to 795 of the family's 1533-position model. The record is from RNAcentral.